UACAGAGGUCUCGAGCGUUAGGCGGAAUCACUGGGCUUAAAGCGUGUGUAGGUGGAUCGGUAAGUACCUUGUGAAAUCCCACGGCUUAACCGUGGAACUGCUUGGUAUACUGCCAGUCUUGAGCCAGCUAGGGGCUACCGGAACAAAUGGUGGAGCGGUGAAAUGCGUUGAUAUGCAGAGGAACUCCGGUGGCGAAGGCGGCCCGCUGGACCCCAUCUGACGCUGAGGCGCGAAAGCCAGGGGAGCGAACGGG
RNAcentral lists this ribosomal RNA (253 nucleotides) under uncultured bacterium. RNAcentral describes it as "partial 16S ribosomal RNA". It matches the Rfam family "Bacterial small subunit ribosomal RNA", at positions 524 to 776 of the family's 1533-position model. The record is from RNAcentral.